AGCACCCCUGGGUACAGGUCCUGGUAUUCAGCAUCAUAGCAAGACAAAUGGGGGUGGCCUACUUUGUACAUAGUGGUGCCUCCCAGAGGAUUCCUGUAAGCUAAAUCAAGAGGAAUGUGAUAUUAUGCUUAAGUAGGGAAUUGUAGAGCCUUCCAUGUCACUUUGGCUCUCUCCUAUAGUUUUAGUCUGGAAGUAAAAUGCCAACACAUGCUUUUGUAUUGAUUUCAGACAACUUAACUCCAAGAACAGAUAGUUAUCCCAUGCCACGAAUUGAGGAACUGCUUGAUGAGCUACAUAGCAAAUAUUCCAGCCCCUAAGAGGGUUAAGGAGUCUUAAAGAAACCAGAUUUUGACCGACCUUUUGAGAUCCACUCAGGAGUUGCAAUUGGCGCAUGUCUUAUGCAAGAUGAUGAUAAUGGCCAUUUCCAUCCCAUGGGUUAUUUCUCUUGGAAACUCAGGGAUGCAGAGAUUGGGGUCUUCAUCAGUUGUACCACAAGCCCUCAGUAGUGAGGCAUUUCGACUUACUCAUUCUACCUUCACUGCAGCUCAUCAAGGGACUUACCGCACAUACUGUAAGUUAUGUGACAUGUUUUAAUUUCCAAACAUGCUUUGUACAAUGAAAGAUUAUGUUUCCAGCUAUCAGGCUUGUCUACAACGUAAAGGUGCAGCCUAUCGGGCACCU
This is a long non-coding RNA of Penaeus monodon (black tiger shrimp), 681 nucleotides long. RefSeq lists it as uncharacterized. Lineage: Eukaryota; Metazoa; Arthropoda; Malacostraca; Decapoda; Penaeidae. The transcript is spliced from 3 exons. The record is from RefSeq and is a predicted model, not a curated record.